Molecule: ribosomal RNA, 453 nt
Filed under: uncultured Anoxybacillus sp.
Lineage: Bacteria; Bacillati; Bacillota; Bacilli; Caryophanales; Anoxybacillaceae
Description: bacterial SSU rRNA
Rfam family: Bacterial small subunit ribosomal RNA
Source: RNAcentral
GCGGUGGAGUAUGUGGUUUAAUUCGAAGCAACGCGAAGAACCUUACCAGGUCUUGACAUCCCCUGACAACCCGAGAGAUCGGGCGUUCCCCUUCGGGGGACAGGGUGACAGGUGGUGCAUGGUUGUCGUCAGCUCGUGUCGUGAGAUGUUGGGUUAAGUCCCGCAACGAGCGCAACCCUCGACCUUAGUUGCCAGCAUUCAGUUGGGCACUCUAAGGUGACUGCCGGCUAAAAGUCGGAGGAAGUGGGGAUGACGUCAAAUCAUCAUGCCCCUUAUGACCUGGGCUACACACGUGCUACAAUGGGCGGUACAAAGGGUCGCGAACCCGCGAGGGGGAGCCAAUCCCAAAAAGCCGCUCUCAGUUCGGAUUGCAGGCUGCAACUCGCCUGCAUGAAGCCGGAAUCGCUAGUAAUCGCGGAUCAGCAUGCCGCGGUCGAAUACGUUCCGGGCCUU